This 550-nucleotide ribosomal RNA is filed under the name uncultured bacterium. RNAcentral's name for it is "bacterial SSU rRNA". It matches the Rfam family "Bacterial small subunit ribosomal RNA", at positions 110 to 695 of the family's 1533-position model. The record is from RNAcentral.
GUAUCGCGUGGGAACAUGCCCUUCUGUACGGAACAACCAUUGGAAACGAUGGCUAAUACCGUAUACGCCCUUAGGGGGAAAGAUUUAUCGCAGAAGGAUUGGCCCGCGUUAGAUUAGCUAGUUGGUGAGGUAAGAGCUCACCAAGGCUACGAUCUAUAGCUGGUUUGAGAGGAUGAUCAGCCUCACUGGGACUGAGACACGGCCCAGACUCCUACGGGAGGCAGCAGUGGGGAAUAUUGGACAAUGGGGGCAACCCUGAUCCAGCGAUGCCGCGUGAGUGAUGAAGGCCUUAGGGUUGUAAAACUCUUUCAGAUGGGAUGAUAAUGACAGUACCAUCAGAAGAAGCUCCGGCUAACUCCGUGCCAGCAGCCGCGGUAAUACGGAGGGAGCUAGCGUUGUUCGGAAUUACUGGGCGUAAAGCGUGCGUAGGCGGCCUAGCAAGUUGGGGGUGAAAUCCCGGAGCUUAACUCCGGAACUGCCUCCAAAACUGCUAAGCUAGAAUCCUGGAGAGGUGAGCGGAAUUCCUAGUGUAGAGGUGAAAUUCGUAGAU